AGCAGCCGCGGUAAUUCCAGCUCCAAUAGCGUAUAUUAAAGUUGUUGCAGUUAAAAAGCUCGUAGUUGAAUUUCGGGGUUCUACCGUUGGUCGGGCUAACCAGUCUGUACUAGCGUGUAGAAUUCCUACCUUCUGGGGAACCAUCAUGUUAUUAAUUUAGCGUGGUGGGAAACCAGGACCUUUACCUUGAAAAAAUUAGAGUGUUCAAAGCAGGCUUACGUCUGAAUACAUUAGCAUGGAAUAAUAAAAUAGGACGGUGGUCCUGUUUUGUUGGUUUCUGAAUCACCGUAAUGAUUAAUAGGGAUAGUUGGGGGCAUUAGUAUUCAAUUGUCAGAGGUGAAAUUCUUGGAUUUAUUGAAGACUAACUUCUGCGAAAGCAUUUGCCAAGGAUGUUUUCAUUAAUCAAGAACGAAAGUUAGGGGAUCGAAGACGAUCAGAUACCGUCGUAGUCUUAACCAUAAACUAUGUCGACUAGGGAUCGGACGAUGUUAAAUUUUAUUGACUCGUUCGGCGCCUUACG
RNAcentral lists this ribosomal RNA (520 nucleotides) under uncultured Scutellospora. RNAcentral's name for it is "SSU rRNA". It matches the Rfam family "Eukaryotic small subunit ribosomal RNA", at positions 569 to 1092 of the family's 1831-position model. The record is from RNAcentral. Lineage: Eukaryota; Fungi; Glomeromycota; Glomeromycetes; Diversisporales; Gigasporaceae.